This 497-nucleotide ribosomal RNA is filed under the name uncultured bacterium. Its description in RNAcentral is "partial 16S ribosomal RNA". It matches the Rfam family "Bacterial small subunit ribosomal RNA", at positions 28 to 507 of the family's 1533-position model. The record is from RNAcentral.
GAUGAACGCUGGCGGCGUGCCUAAUACAUGCAAGUCGAGCGAACGGACGAGAAGCUUGCUUUUCUGAUGUUAGCGGCGGACGGGUGAGUAACACGUGGAUAACCUACCUAUAAGACUGGGAUAACUUCGGGAAACCGGAGCUAAUACCGGAUAAUAUUUUGAACCGCAUGGUUCAAAAGUGAAAGGCGGUCUUGCUGUCACUUAUAGAUGGAUCCGCGCUGCAUUAGCUAGUUGGUAAGGUAACGGCUUACCAAGGCAACGAUGCAUAGCCGACCUGAGAGGGUGAUCGGCCACACUGGAACUGAGACACGGUCCAGACUCCUACGGGAGGCAGCAGUAGGGAAUCUUCCGCAAUGGGCGAAAGCCUGACGGAGCAACGCCGCGUGAGUGAUGAAGGUCUUCGGAUCGUAAAACUCUGUUAUUAGGGAAGAACAUAUGUGUAAGUAACUGUGCACAUCUUGACGGUACCUAAUCAGAAAGCCACGGCUAACUACGUG